AUGGUAGGAUAGAGGCCUACCAUGGUGGUAACGGGUAACGGGGUGUUAGGGCACGACACCGGAGAGGGAGCCUGAGAAACGGCUACCACAUCCAAGGAUGGCAGCAGGCGCGCAAAUUACCCAAUCCCGACACGGGGAGGUAGUGACAAUAAAUAACAAUACGGGGUUCUUUAGGAUCUCGUAAUUGGAAUGAGUACAAUUUAAAUCUCUUAACGAGGAACAAUUGGAGGGCAAGUCUGGUGCCAGCAGCCGCGGUAAUUCCAGCUCCAAUAGCGUAUAUNAAAGUUGUUGCAGUUAAAAAGCUCGUAGUUGAAUUUCGGGGUCAGUAGGUCGGUCGUGCCACUGGUAUGAACUGGUUUUACUGAUUCCUCCCUCUUGAAGAACUGUAAUGCCAUUAAUUUGGUGUUGCAGGGAAUCAGGACUGUUACUUUGAAAAAAUUAGAGUGUUUAAAGCAGGCUUUAGCUUGAAUACAUUAGCAUGGAAUAAUGAAAUAGGACGUUUGAUCCUAUUUUGUUGGUUUCUAGGAUUGACGUAAUGAUUAAUAGGGAUAGUUGGGGGCAUUAGUAUUCAAUUGUCAGAGGUGAAAUUCUUGGAUUUAUUGAAGACUAACUACUGCGAAAGCAUUUGCCAAGGAUGUUUUCAUUAAUCAAGAACGAAAGUUAGGGGAUUGAAGACGAUCAGAUACCGUCGUAGUCUUAGCCAUAAACUAUGCCGACUAGGGAUCGGAUGAUGUUAAUUUUUUAAUGACUCAUUCGGCGCCUUACGGGAAACCAAAGUGUUUGGG
RNAcentral lists this ribosomal RNA (785 nucleotides) under uncultured Glomus. RNAcentral's name for it is "SSU rRNA". It matches the Rfam family "Eukaryotic small subunit ribosomal RNA", at positions 325 to 1111 of the family's 1831-position model. The record is from RNAcentral. Lineage: Eukaryota; Fungi; Glomeromycota; Glomeromycetes; Glomerales; Glomeraceae.